GAUGAACGCUGGCGGCGUGCCUAAUACAUGCAAGUCGAGCGAACAGACGAGGAGCUUGCUCCUCUGACGUUAGCGGCGGACGGGUGAGUAACACGUGGAUAACCUACCUAUAAGACUGGGAUAACUUCGGGAAACCGGAGCUAAUACCGGAUAAUAUAUUGAACCGCAUGGUUCAAUAGUGAAAGACGGUUUUGCUGUCACUUAUAGAUGGAUCCGCGCCGCAUUAGCUAGUUGGUAAGGUAACGGCUUACCAAGGCAACGAUGCAUAGCCGACCUGAGAGGGGGAGAGGAAAAAGUGGAAGAGAGACAAGGAACAGAAAAGUACGGGAGGGAGAAGGAGGGAAAAGUGAGAAAUGGGAGAAAAGAAGAAGGAGCAAAGAGGAGUGAGAGAAAAAGGUAUAGGGAGCGUAAAAAAAUGUAAUGAGGGAAGAAAAAAAGUGGAAGAAAAAAUGGAGGAAAAGAGGGUAAAAAAUAAGAAAGAAAAGGGUAAGAAAGAG
This 497-nucleotide ribosomal RNA is filed under the name uncultured bacterium. RNAcentral describes it as "partial 16S ribosomal RNA". The stretch from base 20 to 341 matches the Rfam family "Bacterial small subunit ribosomal RNA", at positions 47 to 358 of the family's 1533-position model. The record is from RNAcentral.